UGCAUCUGAUGAAUUUGCAACACAGAUAGUUAAUUUCAUAUCUCGGAACUGUAUAGGGCCUCAUGGAGUUGAGAUUGGUAUCAAUAUUCCUUUCUGUUACAAAUUAAAUGCAUGAGGAAAGGGCUUAUAGGAACGCCAUCUAAUAUGGCAAAAAAAAAAAAGUUUCAGAUACCUGGGCUCCGUCGACCAUCACAGCCACAAUUUUGAAUGAUGUUGGAUAUAUAAAUAGUUUCAUCUAUUUUGGAGGAUGUUGCAGAGAACAUAUGCAAUGCAUUCAGCAUCACAUGCCAAAUCAUUAAUAAAUAUGUUUAGAGGCUUCCUUUCUUUAGUUUUAACAAAUUUCUGAUGUAAUAAUCAAGGCAUGUAACUUUGAAGUGAUAUAAUUACACUAAUGUACUUAGUAUAAUCUAUGAUGGUAAAUUUCACAUUGGUUAGCUUUUUCUUGGCCAAAGGAUGUUUACAUUGUUACAUUUACAUUUUUCUGCUUAUGUACUGAAAUUUAUUCUCAGCAAGUUCAAUACACAGAAAAUAGCAUUUUCAUUCUUACUUUUUGUUGUCUUUUGUUUCUUAUUUUCUCUCUGGUGCUAACUUAAUGGUAAAGUUGCGUCAUCUGUGAUGUGAAAGUCACGAGUUCGAGUCAUGAAAACAGUCUCUACAAAGCAAAAGUAAAUUUGCAUACAUCAACGCUUUUUAGAGCUCACAAGUGUGGGAUAUUUAGUGCAUUGUCAUUCUUCUUGAUUGCGGUAACUGCAAAACAUUUAUUCUUAUAUAUUUUCAAA
Molecule: unclassified non-coding RNA, 779 nt
Filed under: Hevea brasiliensis (rubber tree)
Lineage: Eukaryota; Viridiplantae; Streptophyta; Magnoliopsida; Malpighiales; Euphorbiaceae
Source: RNAcentral